UUAGCAGACAGAAAAAUAUGGGUAACGCAGUCCAACCACGUUAUCCACAAAGCACUUCUCAAAAUAUCAAGGGAUGACGUAUAAUUUGGUUUUACUCAAUUACAUUGAUCCUCAACCAGUGCGGGAGUUGCUAGUCAGACAGUUGUAUUGAAAUUUCGGCCGUUUGUAUGUGAUCUUGUUCUAUGUGAGUUAUAUCCUAAUCAGUCAGCGUACCAAAAUUUCUCAAGUACGUAGAUAGACUUUUUUUGGCAGAAAAAAUAACUUUAAACUCAAAAUUUAUCAACACAAGCAAGACCAAAACAUCGACAUAAUAACCCAUAAUCAAACGCCGCUGCAAACAGGCGCUAAAAGAAUGCAGGGGAGUUCCGACGCCGCAAUCGAAACCCUAAGAACUUGAGGGGGGUACUUCGGCGAUCUCGAACAAGUGAAGGCGAUGAUCCUGAUCCACUCCGCCUUGUCCGGCGACACGCGUACGGUGGUGGAAUUCAGUGGAAGCCGAGCUCACCAACAUGGACCUCAAAUCCAUCUCCGCCAGCUCCUUGCUCGACCCGCGUACGCUCCGAAUGUCCUCUCACCUCCUCAGCCCCAAAGUCCUCCAGGUUGAUUAAGAGAAUUGAGAAUUGGGUCGUUUUCGGUUUGGUUGCUGAGAAAAUAGAAAAAGAGAGAAAAAAUAUGGUCCUUCGUUGCCUUUUUUUUUAAUUUUUAUAUCAGAUAGCUUGAGCAAGAGACGUUAUAACAGCAGUGUGUAGGAUUUUGCGAGGAAUUCGACUUUUGAAACUUGGGCUCACAGACGGCCGCAGUGAGGUAGUUGCUGUGAAGGACUCUCAUAUCCCGGCAAUCCCUGGCGACUUCUUUCCUAGAACUAAGGUUCGUCUGGAAGGUAAAGCUACUGUACUGAACGGAAUGGUAUGUUUGAGUCCUAAAAUCGUGACAGUGUUAGGAGGUGUUGUUCAACCACUUUACGAAGAUUGGCAGAUGAAUAAAAAAUAUUCCGGGUUUUCACCUUCAUCUUUAAGGCUUUAAAGAUAUGUAAAAUCGUAUAAAACAUGUAGAAAGUUAUCAAUAUAUGUAAGAUAGACAAUACUAUUUA
RNA transcript from Malus domestica (apple), 1090 nucleotides. RefSeq lists it as uncharacterized. The record is from RefSeq and is a predicted model, not a curated record. Lineage: Eukaryota; Viridiplantae; Streptophyta; Magnoliopsida; Rosales; Rosaceae.